This 490-nucleotide ribosomal RNA is filed under the name uncultured bacterium. RNAcentral describes it as "partial 16S ribosomal RNA". It matches the Rfam family "Bacterial small subunit ribosomal RNA", at positions 33 to 507 of the family's 1533-position model. The record is from RNAcentral.
ACGCUGGUGGCGUGCCUAAUACAUGCAAGUAGAACGCUGAAGGAGGAGCUUGCUUCUCUGGAUGAGUUGCGAACGGGUGAGUAACGCGUAGGUAACCUGCCUGGUAGCGGGGGAUAACUAUUGGAAACGAUAGCUAAUACCGCAUAAGAGUAGAUGUUGCAUGACAUUUGCUUAAAAGGUGCAAUUGCAUCACUACCAGAUGGACCUGCGUUGUAUUAGCUAGUUGGUGGGGUAACGGCUCACCAAGGCGACGAUACAUAGCCGACCUGAGAGGGUGAUCGGCCACACUGGGACUGAGACACGGCCCAGACUCCUACGGGAGGCAGCAGUAGGGAAUCUUCGGCAAUGGACGGAAGUCUGACCGAGCAACGCCGCGUGAGUGAAGAAGGUUUUCGGAUCGUAAAGCUCUGUUGUAAGAGAAGAACGAGUGUGAGAGUGGAAAGUUCACACUGUGACGGUAUCUUACCAGAAAGGGACGGCUAACUACGUG